UCGCUUUGGGAGGAGCUCGCUUACUAUCAGCUUGUUGGUAGGGUAACGGCCUACCAAGGCUAUGACGGUUAGGGGGUGUGAGAGCAUGACCCCCAGCAUUGGCACUGAAACACUGGCCAAACACCUACGGGUGGCUGCAGUCGAGAAUCUUCCACAAUGGGGGAAACCCUGAUGGAGCGAUGCUGCGUGCGGGAUGAAGGCCUUCGGGUUGUAAACCGCUUUUGUAGGGGACGAAAUUUUUGACGGUACCCUUUCGAAUAAGAGGUUGCUAACUCUGUGCCAGCAGCAGCGGUAAUACAGAGACCACAAGCGUUAUCCGGAUUUACUGGGCGUAAAGCGUCUGUAGGGGGUUUAUUAAGUUCCAAGUAAAAUUUCAAGGCUCAACUUUGAAUUCGCUUGGAAAACUAAUAAACUGGAGUCUAGCAGAGGUGCAUGGAACUUGUGGUGUAGGAGUGAAAUCCGUUGAUAUCACAAGGAACACCAAAGGCGAAGGCAUUGCACUGGGCUAGCACUGACCCUGAGAGACGAAAGCGUGGGGAGCAAAACGGAUUAGAUACCCGUGUAGUCCACGCCCUAAACGAUGAAUGCUAAAUGUUCGGGGAUUCGACCCCCUGGGUGUUACAGCUAACGCGUUAAGCAUUCCGCCUGGGAAGUACGGCCGCAAGGCUAAAACUCAAAGGAAUAGACGGGGAUCCGCACAAGCGGUGGAGCGUCUGGUUUAAUUCGACAGUAAGCGUGGUACCUCACCAGGGUUUGACAUCCCUUGACAGCCUUGGAAACAAGGUUUCCUUCGGGCAAGGUGACAGGUGCUGCAUGGUCGUCGUCAGUUCGUGCCGUGAGGUGUUCCGUUAAGUCGGGAAACGAACGAAACCCCUAUUGCAUGUUACAAUUUCUCAUGCAAGACUGCCCGGAUAUACUGGGAGGAAGGUGGGGAUGACGUCAGAUCUGCAUGGUCCUUAUACCCUGGGCGACACAGGCGCUACAAUGGCAGAGACAAAGGGUUGCAAAACCGCAAGGUGAAGCUAAUCCCAAAAACUUUGUCUAAGUUCGGAUUGAAGGCUGCAAUUCGCCUUCAUGAAGCUGGAAUCGCUAGUAAUCGUGAAUCAGCCACGUCACGGUGAAUAUGUUCCCGGAUCUUGUACUCACCGCCCGUCACACCAAGAGAGUUGGUAGCUCCCGAAGCGUCCCGUUUUAGCGGGGC
Molecule: ribosomal RNA, 1201 nt
Filed under: uncultured organism
Description: bacterial SSU rRNA
Rfam family: Bacterial small subunit ribosomal RNA
Source: RNAcentral